GCACGUAGUUAGCCGGGACUUCUUCUGCAGGUACCGUCAGUUUCCCUUCGUCCCUGCCGAAAGGGGUUUACAACCCGAAGGCCUUCAUCCCCCACGCGGCGUCGCUGCGUCACGCUUUCGCGCAUUAGCGCAAGAUCCCCCACUGCUGCCUCCCGUAGGAGUCUGGGCCGUGUCUCAGUCCCAGUGUGGCUGGCCGUCCUCUCAGACCAGCUACCCGUCGUCGCCUUGGUGGGCCGUUACCCCACCAACAAGCUGAUAGGCCGCGGGCCCAUCCCGGACCGUCGGAGCUUUCCCGGCGCGACCAUGCGAUCGCGCCGGAGUAUCCGGUAUUAGCUCAGGUUUCCCUGGGUUAUCCCGGUGUCCGGGGCAGGUUGCCCACGUGUUACUCACCCGUUCGCCGCUCUCCCCUCGGAAGGGUUACCCCUCCUGAGGUUCCCGCUCGACUUGCAUGUGUUAGGCACGCCGCCAGCGUUCGUCCUGAGCCAGGAUCAAACUCU
This 497-nucleotide ribosomal RNA is filed under the name uncultured bacterium. Its description in RNAcentral is "partial 16S rRNA". The record is from RNAcentral.